GAUGAACGCUGGCGGCGUGCCUAAUACAUGCAAGUCGAGCGAACGGACGAGAAGCUUGCUUCUCUGAUGUUAGCGGCGGACGGGUGAGUAACACGUGGAUAACCUACCUAUAAGACUGGGAUAACUUCGGGAAACCGGAGCUAAUACCGGAUAAUAUUUUGAACCGCAUGGUUCAAUAGUGAAAGACGGUUUUGCUGUCACUUAUAGAUGGAUCCGCGCCGCAUUAGCUAGUUGGUAAGGUAACGGCUUACCAAGGCAACGAUGCGUAGCCGACCUGAGAGGGUGAUCGGCCACACUGGAACUGAGACACGGUCCAGACUCCUACGGGAGGCAGCAGUAGGGAAUCUUCCGCAAUGGGCGAAAGCCUGACGGAGCAACGCCGCGUGAGUGAUGAAGGUCUUCGGAUCGUAAAACUCUGUUAUUAGGGAAGAACAAAUGUGUAAGUAACUAUGCACGUCUUGACGGUACCUAAUCAGAAAGCCACGGCUAACUACGUGCCAGCAGCCGCGGUAAUACGUAGGUGGCAAGCGUUAUCCGGAAUUAUUGGGCGUAAAGCGCGCGUAGGCGGUUUUUUAAGUCUGAUGUGAAAGCCCACGGCUCAACCGUGGAGGGUCAUUGGAAACUGGAAAACUUGAGUGCAGAAGAGGAAAGUGGAAUUCCAUGUGUAGCGGUGAAAUGCGCAGAGAUAUGGAGGAACACCAGUGGCGAAGGCGACUUUCUGGUCUGUAACUGACGCUGAUGUGCGAAAGCGUGGGGAUCAAACAGGAUUAGAUACCCUGGUAGUCCACGCCGUAAACGAUGAGUGCUAAGUGUUAGGGGGUUUCCGCCCUUUAGUGCUGCAGCUAACGCAUUAAGCACUCCGCCUGGGGAGUACGACCGCAAGGUUGAAACUCAAAGGAAUUGACGGGGACCCGCACAAGCGGUGGAGCAUGUGGUUUAAUUCGAAGCAACGCGAAGAACCUUACCAAAUCUUGACAUCCUCUGACCCCUCUAGAGAUAGAGUUUUCCCCUUCGGGGGACAGAGUGACAGGUGGUGCAUGGUUGUCGUCAGCUCGUGUCGUGAGAUGUUGGGUUAAGUCCCGCAACGAGCGCAACCCUUAAGCUUAGUUGCCAUCAUUAAGUUGGGCACUCUAAGUUGACUGCCGGUGACGAACCGGAGGAAGGUGGGGAUGACGUCAAAUCAUCAUGCCCCUUAUGAUUUGGGCUACACACGUGCUACAAUGGACAAUACAAAGGGCAGCGAAACCGCGAGGUCAAGCAAAUCCCAUAAAGUUGUUCUCAGUUCGGAUUGUAGUCUGCAACUCGACUAUAUGAAGCUGGAAUCGCUAGUAAUCGUAGAUCAGCAUGCUACGGUGAAUACGUUCCCGGGUCU
RNAcentral lists this ribosomal RNA (1372 nucleotides) under uncultured bacterium. RNAcentral describes it as "bacterial SSU rRNA". It matches the Rfam family "Bacterial small subunit ribosomal RNA", at positions 28 to 1381 of the family's 1533-position model. The record is from RNAcentral.